RNAcentral lists this ribosomal RNA (253 nucleotides) under uncultured bacterium. RNAcentral describes it as "partial 16S ribosomal RNA". It matches the Rfam family "Bacterial small subunit ribosomal RNA", at positions 524 to 776 of the family's 1533-position model. The record is from RNAcentral.
UACGGGGGGGGCAAGCGUUGUUCGGAAUUACUGGGCGUAAAGGGCUCGUAGGUGGCCAACUAAGUCGGACGUGAAAUCCCUCAGCUUAACUGGGGAACUGCGUCCGAUACUGGAUGGCUCGAGUUUGGGAGAGGGAUGCGGAAUUCCAGGUGUAGCGGUGAAAUGCGUAGAUAUCUGGAGGAACAUCAGUGGCGAAGGCGACACCCUGGACUCAUACUGACACUGAGGUGCGAAAGCGUGGGGAGCAAACAGG